AAAAAACACUGCAACUCUCUGUCUCAAUCACAACACUCCUACUUCUUCCAUAGGAGGUUUUUGCAACUGGGGAUGGGGCCUUUGACCUUAGCCAUUGGUAACAAGAACUCUUCAAUGGAACAAUCAGGCCAAAAGAGAACUGAAUGAUCCUGAGAAUGCUGUUAUUGGUGCUUUUGCUGGUGCUUUAACUGGUGCUAUUACUACCCCUCUUGAUGUUAUUAAGACUAGGCUAAUGACCCAGGGAUCUGCAAAUCAGUACAAUGGCAUAGUCGAUUGUCUCAAGACUAUUGUUAGGGAAGAGGGAGCCCCUGCCCUUCUAAAGGUAAUAGUGUUAGAAAUAGCCCAUGACAUAAUGCUAUUUACUUGUUGCAGUUAUAAAUUUUCAAAGUUUGACAAUUCUUAUCAGCCUGUUAACCUAACUAUACGAUUCUAGACAUCAACUAAGACAAAUGCAACAGAUUUCGUUUCUUAACAUCAA
Molecule: long non-coding RNA, 478 nt
Organism: Chenopodium quinoa (quinoa)
Lineage: Eukaryota; Viridiplantae; Streptophyta; Magnoliopsida; Caryophyllales; Amaranthaceae
Exons: 5
Source: RefSeq, a predicted model, not a curated record